Molecule: long non-coding RNA, 1497 nt
Organism: Folsomia candida
Lineage: Eukaryota; Metazoa; Arthropoda; Collembola; Entomobryomorpha; Isotomidae
Exons: 2
Source: RefSeq, a predicted model, not a curated record
UUGAACUUCACUUGGCUGGAUAAACUCUUCACAACACAAAAUUUCUUUGCUGGCACUGAAAACUAACCGUCUUUUAAUAAGAAUAAGGCAGUCGGUUUCCCUUGACUGUCAUUUCCUGCUUUAUUUUACAAAAACUACCAUCCGGCAUCAAGUGUACGUUCAGCUUCAGCUCCCCACUGCCACUCGCGUUUGGGACAAUCAACCCUUUGCAUGGACCAUUUUCACACGUUGGUCGUAUACUCGAGCAAUGCUUACUCCGCUCUGUCCACAACUUGCUCUCAGACUUUGUUCCGAAAGAAUAAAGUUUCCAUAAUUCGCAGUCUCUAAACUAGCACCAUUCUAUUUCUGAGUCACAAGUUGUAAAAACCUCAAGUUACAAUUAACACAGACCACAAUUCGAGUGGUUGGACAUCAGCGCAAGCGGUGGCGGAGUCUAGCCACAGAUAAGCAAGUACUCCACGAGAAGAACACCAUAGGACUGAGCAACAAUGCUUCUCCGAUGUCGAGAGAGGAACUAAACGCAACCAACCAUCAAACUAAUACCAUUUCAUUGCAUACCUUACAGCUAACAAAAGCAAGUAAUAAGAGGUGAACUAAACUAGCUGUAGCUGCAUUUCACGAGAAUGAAGGCAAUGCAGAAUGCAGCAAACCCCAUGUAAGACGACGCAAGUUGGGAGAAUGUCGAAUUGGAUUUAGGCUUGCCGUACAUACUUAAGUCCCGGUAUGCGAUAUACACAUGUACAGAAUCCAACUGCAUUACACAAGAUUACGUAGAAAACUGGUUCAUAUAGCAGCAGCCAUAGCGUAAGAGCCUUCAUCUAUUGCUCUUACCAUGAGACGAGCCGUGGUUAAAAGGAUAGCAUCAAAGGGAAGGGAAGACGAAGAAGAGGGGUGAAUAUUCUUCACAAGAAAUCUUGAAUAACAUGAAGACUUUUGUAGAAAGGUGUUGGUGUGUAUAAACGACUUGCAUGCAAUCCAAUGUGUAAAAGAUCUCCCUCGAGUCCACCAUCUCCAAUUUAGCCAACCCCACUUUUCAACUUUUGUAUAUCUGCGAUGUGAUAAUAAUGUAAGCACAAGUUACACGAGUCAACUCUUCUCCACAUUCACAUUGCGUGAAUAUCAUCAGUAUAACCAGCAAAAAUGGACCAACAAUUUUUAAAAACACUUUUAGUUGUGUAUGAAAUACUAAUCUAGUAUUUGCCUCUGAGACAUUAUUAAAUGAUGUUUUUUUUAUUUUAUUUUAAUUCUUUUAGAAGUGUAAAAUUUGAGGUAGAUUGAGACAUUUCUUUCAAUAUUUCGAGUUACGUGCUAUUAUAAAAAGAUGUUCCCAUGAGUGCAUUGCUGCGUAUGUAUUGUACAUAUCGUAUUUUACACCAACGGUCAAGUAAAUGAGGUGGCAUACGAUUUUUUAUGAACUAAAAGUUCAAAGAAAACCACCAGCAGUUGUAAUAUCAUAAAAAUCAGACCACGUGCAUUAAAAAGACAUUUCUAAUUAGU